AGAAUCAACGCUGGCGGCGUGCCUAACACAUGCAAGUCGAACGCGAGAGUCCCGCAAGGGAUGAGUAGCGUGGCAAACGGGUGAGUAACACGUGGGUGACCUGCCUUCGAGUGGGGGAUAACGUUCCGAAAGGGACGCUAAUACCGCAUGACAUCCUGCCUUUGAAGAGGCGGAGAUCAAAGCCGGGGAUCGCAAGACCUGGCGCUUGAAGAGGGGCCCGCGCCUGAUUAGCUAGUUGGUGGGGUAACGGCUCACCAAGGCAACGAUCAGUA
RNAcentral lists this ribosomal RNA (272 nucleotides) under uncultured bacterium. RNAcentral's name for it is "partial small subunit ribosomal RNA". It matches the Rfam family "Bacterial small subunit ribosomal RNA", at positions 26 to 285 of the family's 1533-position model. The record is from RNAcentral.